This is a non-coding RNA of Triticum urartu, 115 nucleotides long. NCBI's taxonomy places the organism in Eukaryota, Viridiplantae, Streptophyta, Magnoliopsida, Poales, Poaceae. The record is from Rfam.
CAAGUACUCCCUCUGUCUAGAAUUACUUGUCAUCAAAAUGGAUGUGUCUAGAACUAAAAUACAAAUAGAUACAUCCAUUUCAAUGACAAGUAUUUUUGGACGGAGGGAGUACAAG